UUGUGCAAAGGUAGCAUAAUCAUUAGUCUUUUAAUUAGUGACUUGUAUGAAGGAUUGGAUGAAAUAUAGACUGUCUUAAGAAUAAUUAGUUGAAGUUAAUUUUUUAAUUAAAAAGUUAAAAUAGAUUAAAAAGACGAGAAGACCCUAUAGAGUUUAAUAUUAAAUAUAGUUUAAAUUAUUUAUAAAAUUAUUAACUAAAAAUUUUAUUUAAUAUUUUAUUGGGGUGAUAAAAAAAUAAAAUGAACUUUUUUUGAAAAUAACCAUAGAUAAGUGAUAUAAUGAUCCAAUUUUAUUGAUUAAAAGAAAAAAUUACCUUAGGGAUAACAGCGUAAUUUUUUUUUUUAGUUCUUAUAAGAAAAAAAGUUUGCGACCUCGAUGUUGGAUCAGGACA
This 391-nucleotide ribosomal RNA is filed under the name Antheraea mylitta. RNAcentral describes it as "partial 16S ribosomal RNA". Lineage: Eukaryota; Metazoa; Arthropoda; Insecta; Lepidoptera; Saturniidae. The record is from RNAcentral.